RNAcentral lists this ribosomal RNA (1181 nucleotides) under uncultured microorganism. RNAcentral's name for it is "bacterial SSU rRNA". The stretch from base 174 to 1181 matches the Rfam family "Bacterial small subunit ribosomal RNA", at positions 1 to 1084 of the family's 1533-position model. The record is from RNAcentral.
UGCGAGGCGGUUCUUCGGAACUGUCGAUUACGACACUGACUAUCUGCGGUCUUUUUGAAGAUACCAUGCGUCGGUCCUUUGUUGGAUCGAUGACUUGGGAACUCGUCAAUAAAAUACGUAGAACUAAUGCCAAGAUCACUUUGGUGGUCUUAAGCUUAGGUCAGAAGUCAACUCAACCUGAGAGUUUGAUCCUGGCUCAGAGCGAACGCUGGCGGCAGGCCUAACACAUGCAAGUCGAACGAACUCUUCGGAGUUAGUGGCGGACGGGUGAGUAACACGUGGGAACGUGCCUUUUGGUUCGGAAUAACUCAGGGAAACUUGUGCUAAUACCGAAUGUGCCCUUCGGGGGAAAGAUUUAUCGCCAUUAGAGCGGCCCGCGUCUGAUUAGCUAGUUGGUGAGGUAAUGGCUCACCAAGGCGACGAUCAGUAGCUGGUCUGAGAGGAUGAUCAGCCACAUUGGGACUGAGACACGGCCCAAACUCCUACGGGAGGCAGCAGUGGGGAAUCUUGCGCAAUGGGCGAAAGCCUGACGCAGCCAUGCCGCGUGAAUGAUGAAGGUCUUAGGAUUGUAAAAUUCUUUCAGUAGGGACGAUAAUGACGGUACCUACAGAAGAAGCCCCGGCUAACUUCGUGCCAGCAGCCGCGGUAAUACGAAGGGGGCUAGCGUUGCUCGGAAUUACUCGCGUAAAGGGAGCGUAGGCGGACAUUUAAGUCAGGGGUGAAAUCCCGGGGCUCAACCUCGGAAUUGCCUUUGAUACUGGGUGUCUUGAGUAUGAGAGAGGUAUGUGGAACUCCGAGUGUAGAGGUGAAAUUCGUAGAUAUUCGGAAGACACCAGUGGCGAAAGCGACAUACUGGCUCAUUACUGACGCUGAGCUCGAAAGCGUGGGGAGCAAACAGAUUAGAUACCCUGUAGUCCACGCCGUAAACGAUGAUUGCUAGUUGUCGGGAUGCAUGCAUUUCGUGACGCAGCUAACGCAUUAGCAAUCCGCCUGGGGAGUACGUCGCAGAUUAAAACUCAAAGAAUUUGACGGGCCCGCACAAGCGUUGAGCAUGUGGUUUAUCGAGCACCGCGCAGAACCCUUACCACUUGGACAUGCCUGAACCGCCCAAGAGAUCCGCUUUCCUUCGGAACUAGACAGUCGUGCAUGACUGUCGUCAACUCCGGUUCCGCUGGAACAAG